CCUACGGGAGGCAGCAGUGGGGAAUAUUGCACAAUGGGCGAAAGCCUGAUGCAGCGACGCCGCGUGAGGGAUGACGGCCUUCGGGUUGUAAACCUCUUUCGGCAGGGAAGAAGCGAAAGUGACGGUACCUGCAGAAGAAGCGCCGGCUAACUACGUGCCAGCAGCCGCGGUAAUACGUGGGGCGCAAGCGUUGUCCGGAAUUAUUGGGCGUAAAGAGCUCGUAGGCGGCUUGUCACGUCGGUUGUGAAAGCCCGGGGCUUAACCCCGGGUCUGCAGUCGAUACGGGCAGGCUAGAGUGUGGUAGGGGAGAUCGGAAUUCCUGGUGUAGCGGUGAAAUGCGCAGAUAUCAGGAGGAACACCGGUGGCGAAGGCGGAUCUCUGGGCCAUUACUGACGCUGAGGAGCGAAAGCGUGGGGAGCGAACAGGAUUAGAUACCCUGGUAGUCCACGCCGUAAACGGUGGGAACUAGGUGUUGGCGACAUUCCACGUCGUCGGUGCCGCAGCUAACGCAUUAAGUUCCCCGCCUGGGGAGUACGGCCGCAAGGCUAAAACUCAAAGGAAUUGACGG
This 568-nucleotide ribosomal RNA is filed under the name uncultured bacterium. RNAcentral's name for it is "bacterial SSU rRNA". It matches the Rfam family "Bacterial small subunit ribosomal RNA", at positions 338 to 916 of the family's 1533-position model. The record is from RNAcentral.